AAUUAAAGUAUUAUUAAAAUAAAAAUAACAGAAAUAAAAUGUUUAAUUUCACUGAACGGGGUUAGAUGGUAGGACGGGUUUGGGUCGACAGUAAUACGAGACGAUAUACCACGAGUGAAAUCCAUUAAAUAUGUUUAGUUUCACUAAAUGGGAUUAGAUGGUAGGACGGGUUUGGAUCGAUAGUAAUACGAGACGGUAUACCACGGGUGAAAUCCUACAUAUAAUAAUCAAAAUACAAUUAUAUUAUCUUAAAUACUAAACAAAACAAAUAAUAUCAAUAAAA
Molecule: small RNA, 283 nt
Filed under: Arabidopsis thaliana (thale cress)
Lineage: Eukaryota; Viridiplantae; Streptophyta; Magnoliopsida; Brassicales; Brassicaceae
Description: ATSL258940
Source: RNAcentral